GACGAACGCUGGCGGCGUGCUUAACACAUGCAAGUCGAGCGAUGAAGCUCCUUCGGGAGUGGAUUAGCGGCGGACGGGUGAGUAACACGUGGGCAACCUGCCUGAUAGAGAGGAAUAGCCAUCCGAAAGGAUGAUUAAUACCUCAUAAUAUUGUAGCUUCGCAUGGAGAAACAAUCAAAGGAGCAAUCCACUAUAAGAUGGGCCCGCGGCGCAUUAGCUAGUUGGUGAGGUAACGGCUCACCAAGGCGACGAUGCGUAGCCGACCUGAGAGGGUGAUCGGCCACAUUGGGACUGAGACACGGCCCAGACUCCUACGGGAGGCAGCAGUGGGGAAUAUUGCACAAUGGGGGAAACCCUGAUGCAGCAACGCCGCGUGAGCGAUGACGGCCUUCGGGUUGUAAAGCUCUGUCUUCAGGGACGAUAAUGACGGUACCUGAGGAGGAAGCCACGGCUAACUACGUGCCAGCAGCCGCGGUAA
RNAcentral lists this ribosomal RNA (478 nucleotides) under uncultured bacterium. RNAcentral's name for it is "partial 16S ribosomal RNA". It matches the Rfam family "Bacterial small subunit ribosomal RNA", at positions 28 to 523 of the family's 1533-position model. The record is from RNAcentral.